This is a long non-coding RNA of Hemicordylus capensis (graceful crag lizard), 1606 nucleotides long. RefSeq lists it as uncharacterized. Lineage: Eukaryota; Metazoa; Chordata; Lepidosauria; Squamata; Cordylidae. The transcript has 3 exons. The record is from RefSeq and is a predicted model, not a curated record.
CCUCUUGAGCUUCGGCACCAUCUUAGAUGGUGUGCACAGCAUGCUGGGAACUGUAGCCCUUCACAGUGCUUUCAUCUCGAGCUCUUAAGAGGGGGCUCUGUCUCUCUUAAAGGGCCCUCACAGCACUGGGAAAAGUGCAGUACUGUGCAGAGAUAAGCAUUGUGGGAAAUGGCUCUCCCAUAAGAAAAGCCCUGCUGGAUCAGGCCCAAGGCCCAUGUAGUCCAGUGAAUCAGGCCCAAGGCCCAUCUAGUCCCACCAGGAGCAUCUGGUGGGAGUCACACUGUGGCCCACCAGAUGCUCCUGAGAAGCCCACAAGCAAGAGCGGAGGCCUACCCUCUCUCCUGCUGUUACUCCCCUGCAACUGGUAUUCAGAGGCAUCCUAUAGCUCUCAGACCAGUAGCUCUUGAUAGACCUGUUCUCCAUGAAUUUAUCUAGAUCCCUCUUAAAGCCAUCCAGGCUGUUGGCUCUCACCAUAUCUUGUGGCAGAGAAUUCCAUAGGCUGAUUAUAUGUUGUGUGAAACAGUAUUUCUUUUUGUCGGUGCUGAAUUGACUUGUCCAUGAUCUAGAUUUUUCUGCGCCUCAGAGGGCAUUUGCGCAUGUGUGGCGGUCGGCAAAAUGGCGGCCGCUAGCUUUUACAGAGGACCGAAAGGGCCAAAAAGGCUUCACUCACCUGGCCGCAGCGGUGAUGAGGAAGGCCGGCGGGGGGAGAGGGAACCCGCUCGGACGCACACACACCCCAUGGGUACAGCAUGCACCCCGAAGGGGCUAUAGCCUUAAGUGGCGCAGUGGGGAAAUGCUUGACUAACAAGCAGAAGGUUGCUGGUUUGAAUCCCUGCUGGUACUAUAUCGAGCAGCAGCAAUACAGGAAGAUGCUGAAAGACAUCAUCUCAUACUUCAUGAGACGAGGCAAUGCUUCCUGCUCAACAAAGAGGGAGAUACUCUCGCCUAUGUAGCCUGUGAAGAACUAAUAUUAAAAAGGGCAAGAAUCCUUGUCUAGUCCCAAGAACGCUGAAUCACUCUUGAUUUGCCCUGACAGAACUACUGAAGUGGAGCAAUCUUAUGAAUUAUAGCAAAGCUUUACUUGUCACGGACAACAACAACAAAAUGGAUUUACUGGUUAGGAACAAGAGCAACAAAACACAUAUGUAAGAAGCUAUUUUUCAUUGGACUAUACUCUGUAAAGCUGCACAAUUUAUAUAUUUCCCUGCAAUAGAUACCGGGCUGAAGAAGACGGAUCUGCACUGCCUCUCCUGUUCUCUGCAAUUGGAGGAACCACAGCUCAGAGGCAGAAUACCUGCUUUGCACACAGAAGGCCCCAGUUUCAAUUCCCAGUGUCAUAGAAUAUUAGUGGUUGACACUAGGAAUGUGCAAAUUGAUUUGGGUACAAAUCGAUUUGUACCCGAAUCUAGCUGAUUCGGGUGAUUUGGAGACAAAACAAAUCACCCCUGUGAUCCAUUGGCUAGAUUCGGGUACAAAUUGAAUUAUGCCUGAUUUGAUUUGAAUCGAUUCAAGAUGUGGAUCCCUCCUAUCAAUUCCCUCACAUUCCCAGCUUUCUUUCUUUUUAAAAGCUAAGCUCUAGCCUUUGUAGAAGUGGAGAUAUGGAGCA